Long non-coding RNA from Octopus sinensis (East Asian common octopus), 299 nucleotides. RefSeq lists it as uncharacterized. The record is from RefSeq and is a predicted model, not a curated record. The transcript is spliced from 4 exons. Lineage: Eukaryota; Metazoa; Mollusca; Cephalopoda; Octopoda; Octopodidae.
UAUAUAUAUAUAUAUAUAUAUAUAUAUAUAUGUGUGUGUGUACAUUUAAUACAUAUAUUAUCCUUCAUUCCUCUAACGGUCUCCGUAGAGGUAAGACAGAAUUUUCCUAUGUCCACCGCCCGCAAACAUCUCUGCCUGUAAACAUUCAGUGAAGCUCUACAUAGCGCCGAUAGCUUACCGGCUGCUAUUUCUAGCAAUGAUCAUACUUUGUGUACAUCCGCUUUGUAUAUUUAUAAUUCUACCUUUUAUGAUGCUUUAGUCUUGCUGGAUAGUAUUUUUAUUUUAUAAUAAUAUUUAUA